Long non-coding RNA from Pan troglodytes (chimpanzee), 308 nucleotides. RefSeq lists it as uncharacterized. The record is from RefSeq and is a predicted model, not a curated record. The transcript is spliced from 2 exons. Lineage: Eukaryota; Metazoa; Chordata; Mammalia; Primates; Hominidae.
AUGCCUUCGUACUUUGAAUCCUUACAUAAUGAACUGCAACCUAACUUAGUACAUAAACUAACUCAAAGCCUAACUUCUGUCACAAAUGGCUGAGGCUCAGCCAAUCACAACAGUGGAGCUUCAGUCAGUUGCAGGCAGCCCACGGAUCAGGUGAUGUUCAGAAAAGAUGAAGAAACUGUGGCCCAGAGAGGUGAAACAACCCAGCCGAUGUCACGUCGUAGCUAAGAUGACAGCUAUUGGCCUGUACCUCGGCCCUCAAGUUUCCCAUGCAAUGUGCUUCCUACUAUUCAUUGUUGCCCCGUCUCUAG